RNAcentral lists this long non-coding RNA (246 nucleotides) under Macaca mulatta (Rhesus monkey). Its description in RNAcentral is "lncRNA (ENSMMUG00000051050.1)". The record is from RNAcentral. Lineage: Eukaryota; Metazoa; Chordata; Mammalia; Primates; Cercopithecidae.
AUGCUUUCAGGGGGAAAAGGAAAAAACUCGCUUCUGAGCAGGGCCCUGAGUUGCUUUGUUAACUGCUAGCACUUCCCCACAACCCUGAGAUUUGGAAGGAUGUUGUGUUGGGAAUCGCUGAUCUGAAACAGUGUGCUUCCCUCUGUGCCUCCCUAGUAUGUGCCUCUUCCUAGAGACUGAUGCCUGGGAAGAUGAGCAGUCUGGGAACGGAGUCACUUGAGGACCUAUGGGAGACUGGACCUGCUU